RNAcentral lists this long non-coding RNA (508 nucleotides) under Brassica napus (rape). RNAcentral's name for it is "long non-coding RNA (BNAP_LNC013882)". The record is from RNAcentral. Lineage: Eukaryota; Viridiplantae; Streptophyta; Magnoliopsida; Brassicales; Brassicaceae.
GAUCUUGCAAGUGUGAACAAAAGUAUAUAAAAAAAAGAGUGAAAAGAAAGAGUGCUAAAGAGUGUACAAAAAGAGUCUAAAAGAAAAUUAGUCACUAGGGACAAGUGAGGAGAAAAGUAAGAAAAAAGUGAAAAAGAAAAGAAGUGAGCUCAAAAGUAUAUAAAUUUUUUUGAAAACCCUAUUAAAAAAAAAAAAAAAAACUCAAAGAAAGAGAGCUUAAGCUAAGAAAAGAGUGAAAAGUCUCUAGUUAACAAAAAAAAGAAACAAAGAGUUCAAGUGGAGGGAGUGUCUUUUAAAUGAUCUUAGAGUUUUGGGUGAGUGAAAAAGAGUUUGUCAUUGAGAAAUAAGGGUAGAACUUGUAUAACAUUUGGGAAAAUGAUAGAACAAUGGAAAUUGAGCAUUGUAUGCAUGAAUUGUUCCUUUUCUUAGAUAUAUUAUGCAUAAUGUCAAGGCUACUAAGUUUUUGAGAGUAAGUCACCUUAAAAAGAAAUCAUUUAAGCCUCUUGAU